Sapajus apella (tufted capuchin) is the source of this 344-nucleotide long non-coding RNA. RefSeq lists it as uncharacterized. The transcript has 3 exons. Lineage: Eukaryota; Metazoa; Chordata; Mammalia; Primates; Cebidae. The record is from RefSeq and is a predicted model, not a curated record.
UUUUUUUGGAUACCAAAUUUCUUUAUUUGAAGGAAUGGUACAAAGAACUUAAGUGGAUGUUUUGGUACAACUUAUAGAAAAGGUAAAGGAAACCCCAAUAUGCAUGCACUGCCUUGGUGACCAGGGAAGUCACCCUGUGGCUAUGGGGAAAUUAGCCUAAGGCUUAGCUUUCAUUAUCACUGUCUCCCAGGGUGUGCUUGUCAAAGAGAUAUUCUGCCAAGCCAGAUUGGGGUGCUCCCAUCUUGCGCAAGUUGGUCACAUGGUCACCCAAUUCUUUGAUGGAUUUCACCUGCUCAUUCAGGUAAUGUGUCUCAAUGAAGUCACACAAAUGGGGGUCACUUUGU